Molecule: long non-coding RNA, 21057 nt
Filed under: Vitis vinifera (wine grape)
Lineage: Eukaryota; Viridiplantae; Streptophyta; Magnoliopsida; Vitales; Vitaceae
Description: long non-coding RNA (VVIN_LNC000119)
Source: RNAcentral
GGGAUUAUUGUACUUUUAGUAAUAAGGUUAUCAUGACUCAUGAGAGUGCAGCGUAUAUAUUUUGCCGCAUCUCUAUUUUUCAGAAGAUUAAUCAAAUAUAGAGAACAUCACCUCACCUCUUCUUCUUUCACCUUUUCUAACAAAGGUUUUGUUGUAUUUGUGAUAGAGGUUUAAUAUUUCCAAGUUUUAUUGUGCUUAUUUAAUUUUUCUCGGCCGAUGUAGCUCAGAAUUAUGACUCAAUAAUAAGAAACUGGAACAAAGAAACCAAACAAGCCAAUGGGAUUAAAGAAUUUAUGCUUACAAAGGUUUUCUCAACAAAACCUUUGUUAGAAAAGGUGAAAGAAGAAGAGGUUUAAUAUUUCCAAGUUUUAUUGUGCUUAUUUAAUUUUUCUCGGCCGAUGAAGCUCAGAAUUAUGACUCAAUAAUAAGAAACUGGAACAAAGAAACAAAACAAGCCAAUGGGAUUAAAGAAUUUAUGCUUACAAAGUUCAGCUUGAAACUUUUGCCAGUAAGAAAUGGAACUAGAAUAAGCCAAAAGACAAGAUCAGUGAGCAUCACAGCACCUGCGCACAUCUGUUCACCAAAGAAAAAAAAAGCCAAUGACAAAGAAAAUUUUCAACAUUUUGCCUUCUUAAGUAUUGAAACCAACCACCCAGUAACAAAAUUAUACUCUUAAUGUCUAAUUUCAUUUCAACACCAAAAGGAAAUGGAGAAUCUUUAGCGAAAAUACAAUCAAAACUAUCAAUUCAGCAAUAAAAAAUCAGGAUGUGUAUGAGCAAUAUAAGAGAUGAGAGUAUGACUGCAAGAAAAGGUUUAGCAGUCAUAAGGUUAAUAUAAUCAAUCACAGGCACUGAUGUUUAUCCGCACUCUAUCAAGUUUAUCCAUAUUUCAUAGGUUUGGUGUUGCAAUGCCCCUUGGUCCAAGGCUCCAAGCACUUCAAUAUCUUCAAAUGGAAGUUCGUCAAAAUUUAAUGGUCUACCAGUAACUAUGAGUGCUUGGUUUUUGUAACUCAUAAAAGCUAGCAAGAUUGAGACAUUAGUUGUAAGUCAAAUUUUGAAAUGCAAACAUACACCAACAUAUCAACCCUGUUAUAGCCUACAAUAAAACCUAGUUAUAUGAUUGUGCUUAACGAACUACAUGGUUUUGCAUUAGGAGGCAUAGAAAUUUAUAUGGUUUUAUCCUUCUAUAGUUUGCCAAAAUGUAAUUCUUUGCUAAGUUAGAUUUAUCUGGAAUUCAAAUUGCAAUAUUAAAUAUGAAGAAUGAGUGUUCAUGGAACUUAUUUUUUUCAUGAAAAUGUUAUAAAGUUCAUUAUUUGAGCAAAUUAAAAUUUUGUGCAUCCGCAUUUUUUUUUUGCUUUUUGCCUUUCAUGUAAUAUACAAAAAUAGAGAUUUAUAAACAACAUAAAACACAACUUGGUUCAGUUAAUGAGAAGGGUCCAGCUCUCUGGCCUCACUGAUCUCCAUCAACAUCUGUUGUACUAUAAAGAAGAGAAAAAUGAACCAAUUACUAACUUGGGUUUCCAAAUGUAUGAGAUCAAGCAUACAGAAUACAGUAAUUCAUAAGCAAAUAUUGGGAAAUGAAAAAGAAACCAGGGAGCAAAGAAAUUUUCAUUUGUUGUUUUCCCAUAAAACUGGCAUCUUAUUAUUGGGAGAAAGUUUACCUGAAAGAUAAUCUGAAAUGCGUAAAUCCACAUUCUGGCAGUUUUCCGAACAUGAGAUUGCUCAUAGGUACCAAAGUUCUUGGACAUGUUGGAUGUAUUAGCAUUUUCCCUGAGUGUGGGAGCUAUGUAGGAACCUUGCUCUGCAUCCCAACCCUCAUAAUCAACCCUAUCAAUACCAGCUUUAUUGCGAUAUUGGCGAUAUCCCCAAAUGGAGCAAGAAGUUCCGAGCUACAAAUUGAGGAUGAGAGCAUAAGCAACAUCUACAAAAAUAAUUGAGGUACACUGAAAACUUGAAAAUUAAGGAACCAGUAUACAACAAAAAAUCCAUCCAAAAUAAGAAAAUUGAGAAAUAAAUCAACUCUUAUUUUGGGACUCAACACACCUCUGGGCAACAGAAUAACAAUUAAUUCCUAUUUAACAUCUAUGAACAAGAAGAUUUAAAUAGGAAAAAAAAAAUCAAGUUGCUUGAGUCCAUAGAAUAAAACAAAGGACAAAUUCCAAUAUCUCUAUCAAAUUUUACACUACAAUACAUAGAUAGAUUCAGCCCAGAAGGCUGUAACAGUUAAAAGAUUAUACCGCAAAAUAGAUGGUGACCAAUGCAAACGUCCACCUGUUCAGAAGAAGAAAACAGAAAAGAAAAACACCAUUUACUUCAUAAGAAAUUUCUCCAAACCGGGAUUUGUUCGAUGAGCACAUCAUUUCCACCUUAUGAGUAUAGAGAUGAACCAAUAAAGGUAGAUAACUUACUGAGUAUAAAAGUAAAAUAUACCACCUCCAUCAAUUACGAUGUUGGCAGUGAGCAAUGUGAAUAGAGUAAUAAAAGCAAUCAUUCGAUAACCAAGAAGCCAACCAGGAUGGAUUUCUUUCAGACAUGUUCUCCAAGUUUCAUCCUCAUACAGAGACCCUGCUGUUUCUUUCUGAUUUUCUCUUCUCCUGGCUUUUGUUUUGUUGAAACCUUCAUAUUUCCAUACUAAUAUUGAUGCUACAAUCAUCAUUGAUAAGAGCCAAAUUGCACAGAGGAAGAACCUCCAGUUCAACCAAUAACUUAAGGAGGUUGUAUCGUCAGCCAUGAUUGGCUGCCAGGAAUGCUUUGAGGAUCCUGUCAAGAAAUUCAUGGUGUUAGUUCUACUUGCUGAACUGGUCAAUCCAUUUUCAGGAAAAUCACUGAUUCAUGUCCACAUCCUUCUUCCGGAAGGAAAAGUGAAAUACUGUAUUGGCUUUACUUUAAUCAAAUACAGACAAUUUGCAAAUGAAUGAUGUGUCAGAAAAGGUGUAUGGAAAAUGUUCACAGUUCUGAAAAAGAUUUAAAAAGAAAAAAAGAGCAAGAAAAAGGAAAAUCUUUCAAACAAUAUGCAUAUGGCUUUUUUGUUUACAAAGGACACUGGCAGGCUUGUCAAUGACAGGAAAAACAGAACCCUAACCAUCACCACAAACGAAUUUCCGCCGGAUGAAAGCAUCUAGUUAUAGUCAAAACACCGAAUCCAAGGGAAGUCUUAGAGGAAUAACCCUAAAUAUCAAAUUAUCAAAAAAAAAAAAAACAGCUGCAAAAUAUGGAAUUAUAUUGAAAUCAUAUAUAGAACCUCCCACAAAAAUGAAAUAACGGGAGUCAACACACUGAACAAACCAAAAAAAAUUAUCGAACAAGAAGAAAGAAGUAUCAAUAAAUAGUAAUUGGGAGAGGAACCCAUAUCUCAAAAUCCCAUCACAGCCACCAUACACGAAAGUACAGCUCGCUUAUGGACUCAACCCUUUCCAAUUCCCGUAAGACCCGUCAAUUCCAAGGGGAAAGAAAGGGUGUGUGAGAAUGUUUACGGUUCAUAAUGAAUUGUAUGAGCGAGAAUUGAAUUACCUUUUCAAAUGAGAUGCUGUGGUUGGAGGAAUGAAGAUUGAGCGUAGAACCCUUUACCCCUGUUCUACUUCUAUGCGAUAGAAAGAGGAAUUACUUUAUUUGUUUUUCCUGUUUUUGCUUUGAAUUAGGAGGGAGUCCAGUUUGCCGAGAAUUUCAUUAAAACGCGUAUCCAGUAAGGACUCGUUUGUUAGCAGUUAGCACCCGAUUUCUUUGAAUUUACUGCCCAUCCAAAAAGCAGGAUGUUCUCGAAUUUUGAUUUAUAUUAAUUUACCUGUUUUUAUAUGAUUAAAAUUCAAUAUUUUAUCUCACAAUGCUUAAAUCAUGAAUUUAUAAUAGUAUAAAAAAAUUAAUUAUAAUUCAUUCUUACCUUUCCCUUUAAUUUUCUACUCUAAAAAUCAAUAAUUUUAUCAUUACCAUUUUUGACAAAAUAAUUUUUUUUUAUAGAAACUAUACAAAUGGAAAGAUAUUCUUAUAUAAAAAAUAAAAAUUUAAUUUUUUUAAAAAAAAUUCUUAUUUCAAUUAUUAUUUUAUCAUGGAAGGUCUACAAUUUUAUUUUUUUUAAAUAAUAUUUUAAUCCCAUUUAACUUUGACACAAAUAAUUUUUACUAAUAUCUCUUUAGAAUUAUAAAAUAAAAGAGAUAAAGAUACAGAAUUUACCCCUAAAGAAAUUCUAUCUAUUAGGGAAAGAAAUUUCUAAAACUUUUGAUCAAAUCGAUUCCUUUUAAAAAAGAAAUUUUGGGAUUUUGGGACUGAAUUAUUCUCUAUUUUUAUGGAAAUUGAAUGAAGAAAUAAUAAAAUUUAGAAAAUCGGGAAACUAGGAUGGGAAGGAAAGAAACACAAUAAAAAGGGAAAACGAGAGAAAGAAACAGAAGGUGGAGGAAACAAAAAAAAGCCUUUUGGAGUCUUGAUUUUUCUUCUGCUUUCAGAGUAAUCCUUCUUCGUUAUCGCUGAUCAUCAGCCCCGCCGCUGCAAUCGCUGUUCAUCAGUAGCACCGUCGCCACUGCAGCAGAAAUCCAGCCCUGACAGGUUCUGUAUUUGGUUUUUAGUUGUUAUUUUAAAUAAAAUCCACACAAUGGAGUAGUCCCAAGAACGUAUUGAUACGUAACAAACAUACUUCUUGCUCUUUAUUUAUUUUUUAUACUCGUUUCUUUCUCUUUCCACAGAAUGAGUUAUACUGAUUGGAGUAAGUUACCAAAAGAAUUAAUAGAGCUAAUUUUCGAUGAGCUACAACAUGCGGGAGACAUAAUUCGGUUUGGAACUGUAUGUAGGUUUUGGGGUUUGGUUGCUUUGGAGGCAAGGCAACAAGUCUUCAAGCCUUUGAGACCUUUGAGUCCGAUGUUGUUACUGCCUCCUAAUAAGGAUGAUGGAGCUCACAAGCUCUAUGAUUUCUUUAAGAAGAAGGCUUAUAAAAUUCAAAUUCCAGCUAUGCGCGAUAAAUGGUGUUGCAACUCAUGGAAUGGGUGGUUAAUCACAAUAAAUCACACUUUCCCUUAUGAAAUAUGUUGUUUAAAUCCGAUUUCAGGUGUGCAAAUCGAUCUACCUCCGGCAAUAACUUUUGAAGAUUCUCCUCCUGACCUUGAUGAAACACCAAUUGAAUUUUUCUUGAACAAGGUUGUUCUGUCUUCUACUCCUUCUCCUUCAAAUGCCAAUUGUGUCAUUAUGGCUAUUCAUAGUAAUUAUAACAAAUUGGCAUUUUGCAAACCGGGUGAUAAGCGGUGGAUUACUUUAAAAAGUGAUGAUAUUCAAUAUAAGGACCUCUUAUAUUAUAAGGACAAUUUUUAUGCAAUAGGAAGGUCGAAAGUUGUACAAUGUGAUAUUGGCGAUGAUCCAAGGGUUAUACCAUUCGCACUACUCCCUAAGAUGGGAUACUUUCAGUAUAGAUAUUUAGUAGAGUCAUCCGACUGCCUUCUAUAUGUGUUGAGAUAUAUGGAUUUGAAGGAUCAAGAAGAUCCUUUAAAGUUGCGGUAUGAAAUAACAGGUUUUAAGGUAUUUGAUUUGGAUUCGGAUAAAAGGAAGUUCUCAUAUCGGUAUGAAACAACAACAUUUAAGGUGUAUAAUUUUGACUUCGAUCAAAAGAAGUGGAAGCUAGUAAAAAACAUAAAGGAGAAGGCCCUAUUAUUAGGGCAUAACCAAGCUAUUUCGAUAUCUACUAAAAAAUUUGAUGGAUUUAAAAGCAAUCAUAUCUACUUUUUGGAUGACUAUAAGGAAGGUUACUUUGAAAAUACAUAUGGUUGCCAUGAUAUGGGAGUUUUUAACAUAAAAACUCAUCUCUUUAAGCCCAUUUUUCGUUGUACUCAAUUGUGGGCAUCUCCACUAUUUUGGAUGAGACCUGAACUUUCUUUACAUUGAAAUAUUGUACUACCGUUGUUAUAUCUUAUAAUAAUUGUUUUUUAACCUUUUAUAUUUCUUGUAAUAAUUUUUGUCUUUUUAUUUUAAGUAUCUAAUCUUGUUUUUUUAGUGGGGAUUACCCUCUUAUUAUGUGCAUAAGGUUUUUGGAACUCAAAAACCCAAUUAUGUCAUAGACUUCAAUGUUUGAAGGUUGAGAAAAUUUGUGGUGUAUUUUAGAAUUUGUAUGACUCUAUGAUAAAUGAUUUAUUAUGUAUUCAACUAAUUUAUAAUCAUAAAUUAAAUUUAUAUGAUAGCUAAUAAAAUUAAGAAUGUGAAAUCCAGUGCUUGUGUCAAAUAUUUAGCAAUACAUAUUUUGCAAUUUUUAUUAUGCAUAUUAGAUUUUAUCAAUUCUUAAUAUAAAAAAUAUAUAUAAUAUAAGAUUAUUGUUAUGCAAUUUUUUUUUUAAAGUUGAAAACUAUGGGUGCAAAUUGGGUGAAUUGGUCUAAUAAAACCUGAAUUAACCUAAAUAUUUUACAUUAUAUUUUUGAACAUAAUUAGAAGAUGCAUCCUAAAAAUAUUAUCAUGGUUAAAAAUAAUAUUGUCUUUUACAAACAAUUUAUCUUAUACACUUGCAUUAUACAAUAAAAAUUAUAAUGCUAGAGAAAUUAUGAAAUUUUUUUUAAACUAUUUCAUCAAGAGAUGGCAAUUUUCUAAAACAAACAUAUAAAGGAGUGAAAUAUAAAUUGAAUUAAUAUUUAUUUCUAUAAUUUGAUAUAAAAAAUUAAGAAAAGAUUAAAUAAUUAUGUAUAAAACAUUUCAAUAGUAUAUUAAUGAUAUUUCGUGAUUUUCUCUCAAAAAGCAAUUAUUAGAAAAUAAUUACUUUCAUAUGUUUAAAAUAUUUCCAUAAUAUAAUAUUGAUCGAUUACAAUUUUCCUUUCAAAAUGAAGUAUUAAAAAAGGACUACAAAGUACUAGAAUGUUUGAUAUAUUACUAUUAAUAAAAGGCAUUAUGUGAUAUGGUAUACGAUUAAAAGAAAUUAUGAAAAUUCUAAAAAUAUUUUAAAUUAUAUUUAUAAACCGAUAUAUUUAUGCAAAAUUAAAAGUAAUUAUUUUUGUAAUCAAAUAUGUUGGUAGAUAUAUUUAUUGUUGUAGUGGUUAUUGGCAAAAAGUUGUGUACUUACAAUAAGAAAUUUUAUUUGCAACAGAUUAAUUAUGUUAAAAGUUUUUUGGUAGGAUUGGAUUUAAUUUCAAUUGUCUAAUUAGUUUUCUCUAAUCUAACCUAAAGUAAUUUCAAAUGUGAUGGAAUUUCAUUAUUUUAGAAGUAAUAGAGUUUUAAUUUUUAAUUAUGAGAUUUUACUAUUCUAGAAACAAUAUGAUACUUUUAAUCUAAAUUUUUUACUUUACCUAAAUUUUAUUAUUCUAGAAUAAUGUCAUAUUUUUUGCAUGAUAAACAGUUUUUGCAUUAUUGCAUGUUAGCAUUUUGUUUUUUUUAACUAUAUAUAUCUUGUGAAAUUCACAUUUCUUGUUACAACUUGAAUAUGGAGCAUAUUGAGUUUCUUAAUCCUAAUAAUAGGUACAAAUGUCUAAAAUGUGGUGAUGAAUUUGAAAACUCUAAUGGCAUUAAGCACCACAAUUCCGACCUGCAUCGGAAAUGGCACCAUGUUUGUUCUAAAUGCUAUAAUGCAUUUGCAAGAAAGAUUAACUUGCUAGAGCAUCGUUCCAAAAAUAUUCAUGGUAUCAAUGUUGCUGAUGAGGAGGAGAAGGAGGAAGCGGAAGAGGAAGACGAUGAGGGUGGUAAUGAGGUUGAGGAUGAUGAUGGCAAUGAAGGUGGGAAUGAGGUUGAGGUUGAGGCUGAGGAUGAUUCUGGUGUUGAUGAAGGUGGUGAAAAUGCUGAGCAUGGUGAUGAGGAGGAGGCCGACGGUGGUGAAAAUGGAGAGGAUGGUGAUGGCAAUGAAGUUGGGUAGCCUGCUUAGGUUGGGCUGCUGGUUAACAAGGUUGCUGGUGGUUUUUUUGUUCCCGUGUGGUGUUAUCUAAUCAGUGUUUUGCAGUGAGUAGUGUAAUGUUUUACAGUGGUUGUGUUUGGAAACAUGUGUUGGUGUGUUGAUGCAUCGCAUGCUCCUAUAGGCAUGUAUUCGGUGUUUUAGUCAUAGUCAUAUAUUUUGUGUUUAAUUAUUAAUAAUUUCUAGAAAAAAUAUAAUAUAUUAUAUAUAAUUAUUUAAUUAAAGAGUUAAGUCCAAUCCCAAUUCAAUUUGUUAAUUACUUUUUCCCCAAAUCCAACCCAAAUUGCAAAAAGGAAUGUUCAGGGUUGGACUGAAAUUGCCCAAAUUGAACACUAAUGGUACUCAUCAAAGUAUGGGACAUUUCCUUCAUUUCAUUUCAUCGUUAAACUUUUAUCCAAAUUUAUACAAUACGAAUACAAUUAUACAAGGAAUCCAUUUGCAUUUCUUACCCCAAAACUUUUACCAUUUCUUAACUGAUCAUCUUCCAGACUCUACGGUACACUUGUUAUGGUAAUAACGAGGAACAAGAUAUCCCAAGCCAACCGCACCACAUCUUUCUCUUCACCUUCAUUCCUCACCAAGCUGCUUAGCUAACAGAUCAACAGGUAAGGAACCCAGUGGAACUGGUGAUUCCAUCUCUUCCAAUGACUCAUUCACCAAGUAUUCAUCAUCAUCAUCAUUGUACAUCUCAUCUUCACUAUAAUCCUCACUAUUAUAACCUUCAUGCUCUGCCUUUGUACCACCAGUUCCAUCUUCACUUGACAUCACUAAAGCUGGAUAGGAGUGCUCGGUGGCCUGUGAAAUGCCUUCGAAUUCCUCUACUACCUUCAAAAGAGCAUCCGGACCAAGACCAAUCUCAUCCAGCAACAAUGCUUUGCUCGACUCAAUUGCACUCUUCCACAGAGACAUCAUUUUAGGGCUUGCGCUCACUGCUUUAGUAUCCAGUCUAUGAUGGUUGCUCUUGGGAACGCCUGCCAAACAAGCAAGAAAAGAAAAAAGGGGACAUGGAACCAUCAAAAUGGAAUCCAAGCUACAACAUGGUAGUAUGAGUCAUCUGGUCGUAAAUAUUAUCAAGCAGUGGCAUGGAACAAUGGACAAAGGCAGCUUGACAAUCAAGCAUGAUUGACAAGUGUUACUAGAAAAAAAAAAUCCUUUUGGACUGAAAAGGAUGAAAUGCAUGAUUUCUAAUGGUAUGUUUUUAAUCUCCUGCAAUUCUUUGUUGCUCUUAUAACAACACACCAUAUCUUAUUGGGAGUGUGAGAACAAUUUCUAUCAAAUGAAAAGAAGUUUUCCCCAGAUACAAAAGUUUAAAAUUAUGAUUCAAAAACUUGAUAAAUAAAGAAAAGGAGAAUAAAGGAGCGUUCCAUAGAGAAAGUGCCCUACUAGCUAGGAUCUUUUAAAGAAAAACAGUCAAAUUCAAAAAUAUUAUCCUUGGGAAUGCAAUUUCCAGGAAACUGCUUCUCUUGCAAGUAGUGACAUCUGACAAGAAGCCCAAAAAACAGGAAUUAGGGCAUACCUGAACCUUCCAAGCCACUUGCAACAUCAGCAACAACAGGAAUGAGGAAAGAAGGAGCUCCUUGGUACAUUGAUUUCCAACCAUGUCCCCUCCAUGUUAAUAUCUGUUCAUCAUCAAAAGAAAGUAGCACACAAGGAACCGAUUCCUGUCCAGGGUUGAGAGGAAAAAUGUUAGAAGACAGCGGCAACCGUGUAAGCUGAAAACAAAGCAUAAAUAAACUACUGCAACUAUGGGGUUCAGAAUAUAAAUCUUGUCCAAUCAAUCCAGUCAAUCAUGUGAAGAAUUAAACCUUCAGUCUAAACACUCUGAUGACUUACAAGAACAGAAAGUUAAACAAACCUUAAGCUUAGCACCUAUCUUUUUGUAAUCACUUGCAUGCAUCCCUUUACAGUCAAUCUUCACCAAUGGACUUCCUUCAAAAGCAUCCCUCACAUCUUUCACUAAGGAAAUAUAUACUCCAUUUUUCACUGCAUUCUAGAGAAAUAUGUAAUCAGAAUGCACCUACUAGUAAUGGACAACAUAACAUAAGCUGAGCUCAGUAAGGGUGCAUACAUAUUAGUAGGACUGGAAAAGAAAUUUUGAGCAAAAUGAUUUUCCACAUGAUGGUGCAAAUUCAUAUUUUAUUUUAUUUUGUUUAUGUUUUUAUAGGUAACUCUGUUUCAUUCCCUGCUAAGACCUGAAGUUGGAACCUCUCACAUCCCCAACCUAGGCCCUUGCCACUUUUAACAUGUAACAAAUUUUAAGCAUUGAUUUGAUAUGUAAAAGUACAUAUAACUGGGAGAGAGCAUGAUUGAAUUCAGAAGUUUAAAGUGUCACCUGAAGCAAAAGGGUAGCUACCCAGAAUAGAAUAUACCAAUCAGUUGAGACCAUGUCUUACAUGGUGCAAUGACAAUUGAAAAAUUAAGGGCAUAUUUGGCAUCGGUUUCCAUUCCUGCUUUACUGUUUCCGUUUCCAAAAGAGUGAGAGUUUUGCUAAAAACAUGUUUGGGUCCACCUGUUUUGUUUUUGUUUUUCUGAAAACAAUUGCCAAAUAUGUGGCAAUUUAAGGUAGUAAAAACAGGAUGUUUAGGAAAAGGAAAAAGUAAUAUGCUUGGAAUAUGUCACUCUAUCAAGUGUGUGUGUGAGAGAGAACAAAAUAAAAUGGUAUUUGAAUUCUUAACGUGAUAUUCAAAUCCAGGCAAAAUAAAUUGGUAAAGAACCAGUGGUGGAUGAUUUACCUAAUCGACAGAUUGGUAUAAGAUUUUCCCCUUCAUUCGCAACUCGUCAGCUUCAAAUUUUGUCAAUCCUUCUGGGGCUUCUUGUAUGAGUUUUGGAUAAACAGGAGCAGCUGGUUUCCAGAGCAUCACUGGGUACUGCGGACGAGUACGAUAAUUGUAGUUUCUGCCACGAAAAAGAUAAACUACACCACCAACUCGAUGAAUGAUUUUACCCCCAGUCUUUUCCUGGAAUUGUGAAGAACACUAAAGUGCAAACCAAACAAAAAAUUUAUCUAAUUUUCAUAGUUAAUAAUGGAGAUGUAGGAUGUUGUUUCACUCUGAUUAUUAGCUGGAAUGGCACAUUGACAACAGAAAAGUUAAAAACUUCAAACAGGGUGUUUAUUAUGGGAUUUUUUUUCAGGAGACCUUAAUCACAUGAUAGGUGAGGUCUUCUAGUUCAAGGGAACAAUGGAAUGGAGUGAGAAUUGAAAGGGGUUGGAGAGAAUGACAAUAGACCCAAAUGGCAGACUCAAAGAAUGAGCUUCUGAAACGAAGAGUUAGUUAUACCAAAGCCAAUUAGUAGGAGUUUCUUGAAUAAAAAUCAACUACAUUGAUAAAUCAUAUGAACCAAUACGACAACACCGUGUGUAAAUGGAUUAAUAAAAUGACACCAUGUGCAUAAUCAAUUGAUCUUUCAGGACGAAGAUCUGGUGGUAUGGAAACAUGUCCCGAGAGAUAGUCUACCCCUUCUCUUGUUCCCUUUGAGACCUACUCAAUAAUAUAUGGCACAAUCCCACUUGGGGGAACCUCCAACUCUAGCCACCAAAAUAAAAACCAUCCCAUACACUCGAUGGAGCCCACUGCAACUGGGUAACAAACUUAACUAGGUUUCCUUUGGCUAUGCACGAAACUUAAGUAAACAAGAAGCAUCUAGGUGUUAUGCCACAAGGCAUUUUCAAUACAUGUAAGAGAUAUUUUUCUAUGAUGAUAACACACUUGGAGUCCACUUAGCAGUGCUUUUAGAAAACAUUUCUAGUAUAAAAAGUGCUUUUGGAAAAAUUAAGGCAUUUGAAAAAAUUUAGAAAGCACUUUAAAAAAAUUGAAAAAUCACCAGUACUUCCUAGAGAAGCACUUGAUGAUUAAUCCUCCCAAAAUUUUCUAGCUUUUCAAAUAGAAACACUCUCAAACAUACUCUUAGGAGUUAGGAUCAUUUUGGGGGAGUAUGAAGACAACUACUGGAGAUAUCUUUUUAAUGGAAUAAGAAGAGGCCAAUGAAGCCACCAAGAUGAAAUGGUGGAAAUGGGGAAGUGACCUCUCAUGCCACAUUAGCAUAUUGGAGCCCUCCUCUAUUCACCCCAUGAUGUGAAUGCUUUUACCUUGAGAUGAGUAGAAGAUAUCAGGGGCCAUCUCUCCUUUGUUAGAGUAAUAAAAGUAGUGGCAGACUUGAUAAAGUAGCAUCAAAGUAGCCAAAACAAUCAACACAAGGAUUACUAGAGCAUGUAUGGCAUUAAUAUAAGUAUGGUGCUACUAAUUGCAUGACUUCUACAGGUCAUUAAUCUUGUGUAUCAUGACAAUUUAAGUAUUUAACCAUAGGACCAAAAGUCUCAGUCAAAUUAGGUAUCAACAAAGGAAAUACCAGGUGAGUUAUUAUGAGUAAUUCAAGAUCCUUAUAAACAUUUAUAAUCCAUUUAUUUGCAUGAAAAUAUACAACAAAUAUUAUCCUGCAAGACUUUGGCCAGGUGAAAGAACAGGGUUUAAGAGGAACAACUGACUUCCUACCUCUACAAGAAAUUUCAGAAAGGGCUCCGCUUGUGCCAUGAGUGGCUUGAAACAUUUAUUUUAGUGAUAUAUACCAUAGAGAAGUUCUUACACAGAAGCUUAAACACCAAGAGCAUGCAUACAUGGCUAACACAUAAGGAGCAUUGCAGACAUUCAAGAUAGAACAAUUAGAUAUAGUGUUGGAAAUGAAAACCUCAAGAUGAUGGCAAACAUUAUCCAUGUCAAUUGUCGGAACACCUUUGCACCAAACUUUACAAACUCGUUGACGCUUCCAAUGUGAAUGUAUCAACUCCAACAUAUUAUGGGUUAGCCCAUCCCUUCCUACACCAUUCAAUCAUAAACAAUCAACAAAACUCCAACAUGUAUACAUCGUGCAUACUCUCUUUUCUCUUUAAUAUAUUUUCAUUUACUUACAAAAAAAAAUCAACAAAACUCCAGCAUGUAAUUAAGCCAAUGGAAGUACUAACUAGAUAACAAUAAUUUUACAAUCUCAUACCUACAACAAAUUUUCAGAGGAAGAAAAGCAACAUGAAUCACUGAAAUUGAAGUUCAAAAUACGGAUAACUCACCGAGAUUAACCUGGCGAUUAUGAGACAAAUAGGGUUUAACAAGCAUCCGUAUUUCUGCCUUGCUCAAUGGCUCUCCGAGUAUCUCCUCCCUCGUCCUCCCUUCCACGGGAAACUUCCCAAGCGGAAACGGCCCUGGCAUUUCCACACGCUUCACCCCCUUGGUUCCCGGCGGAGGCGGAUUAAAGGAAUCAAAGAGUGGAAUCUUCUUCUUGGAUUUCUUCAAUGGCGCCUUCCCAGUCCACGGCCUUGGCAUUGUGGGCGGAGCAAAGGGCAAGAAUGCCGGCUCCCGGAUUGCCAAGGGCUUAGCUUUGGGGGUCUCGGAGUAACUGAACUGGAACUCGAAUGGUGCUCCAGCGAGGAGAUAUGACACGCCGGAUUCGCCGAUGACGACGGAGCGGUCACCAUCCGAUGCGAUAACGCCAUCGGAGACGGGCUUGUAAUAUUUGGAACGGUGAUGAACGGUUUUGAAGGCGGGAGUGGAGGGUUUAGUUGGAGGUCUUGGGGACUUUUGGGAUUUGAGAGGUGGUGGGUAUUUGGGAAUUGGGAUGGGCGGCUGAGGAGGUGUUGAUGUGGUGGAGGCAUUUGGAGGAGGGCCUUGAGGGAGAGAGGAGAAGAGGCUAGAAGAACCUGGUAGUGUUGCCAGAAUCACCAUCGAAGAAGGCUUAAUUCAUCUGAUGACACUGAAAGUUCGAGUUUUCUUCUGGUUUUUCAGUUUUGGGGAGCCAACAGAUAUAUCUUAGGCUGGGACAACGGUGAAACGACGUCGUUUUUCCCAGUUUAAAGGAUAUGCCAAUUUUCUUAUCAUCGGAGGUGUCCAAAGCCCGCAUCCGCAUCAACCCUCGUAGACUCGCAGCUCAGCGCUAGACAAACUCCACUGUAUAGUAAAUGGCUCUGUUCAACAUGAUUAUCAUCUAUAACCGCCCUUUUUCUGUUGGCCUAUUCAUACUUAGAUGAUAUAUGGAUGCCAUGAAUCCACUGUGAAUUUGUCAUCAUUUUGUUUUCAUUUCAUUUUCGACCAUGGACGUGGUAUUUUUUUGAGAAUAAUGUUAAAAAGUGUGAUUAACUUUUUUCUGUCCUAUUUUUGGGUGUUUCGUAUGGUGUUGGAUUAAUUUUACCUUUUGUGAUUGGAUUUCUAGUCUGGAAAAUCUGCCAUUCCCAUUCCUCAAGGAUUUUGGAAUUUAUAUUCACCAACCCAAUUUGACUCUGUUCAUGUUGCUCUUUGACUCAUCUUGUCCUGUCAAUUCCUUUGCAGUGAAGAUGCUUAGAAAAAUAGCUUAUCUUCUGGUGGGGAAUCUGCCAAAUUAUUUUUAAUCAGAGUAGUCUUUGUUUUAAACUAGUACAACUUCUUGCUAGUAAGAUUUUUUUCCACUUAGAUGUGGGUGGAAGACUACCUGGUUGAUCAAUAUUUGUCAUUAUCCGAUACCUCAAAAGCAAUUAUCAUCUUCUCUAGUAAUCUUCAACCACAAACAAUUUGGAAAAGAGUAAGAGCCUAAGAGAGAAUUUAAAAUGUAUGAGUUAAGAGGCAUAAAGAGAAUUUUGAAUCGAAAUUGCCAAUACACAAUGAGAAUUUAUUGAUUGGUUUGGCUUGUGAAUGAUAUUAUAAUUCAUCAUCAAUUAAUAUUGUAUAAGUCCAUAAUAUUUGACCACGAUGGAGUGGUAAAAUAAUUUAUAUUUUGAAAUAAUGAUUUUAUGUAAAAAGUUUAUAUUAAAUAUUACAUUUGCAAAAUAUUAUGAAAUAUUAAUUGAAGUUAAAGAGUAGUCUUUAAUUAGACAAUUAAAUCCAUAUUUUACCAAUUAAAUGGACCUAUGAUGACAGAUUAAAUAAAUUACAUCAUAAAGUUAAAAUUACAAUCAAAUAGCACCAUUAUUAGCGAAACUUCAACUAAUCAUUUUGUAAUAUGAUCAAAAUUCAAUAUUUAUUGAAUAUGAAUGUUGUAAAAUAGUUAAAUAUGAUUGACUAUUUAACUUUUUCAUAUGGAUUCAUCUUCAUCCUUUCGUCCUCUGCUGCUCUUCUUCAUUCCAUUCAAGUGAAAACACUUUGUCUCGUCCAAAUGAAAACAAAAAUUUCUUUUUCAUUAUUACAGGAGAUAGAACAAUAGGAACAAUAUAGAACUACUUACCGUUCGUGACCCUUAGACACAAGGGUCACUCACUCGUUUACCAAAAGGGAAAUAUAUAUUCUAAUUUCUAUAGUCAUUCCUUACCAUUUGUGCCCCAUAGGAACAAUAAAUAUAUAUCUUUAUUUUGAUUAAAUCACUACCAUUGAAAUUUUGGUUUUUAUAGAUGAUAUUUUAUAAAUAAAAAUAAAUUUAAUAAGGCAAAUUAUUAAUAAUUUUAAUUAUUUAAAUAAAUUAAUAUUAAUAGAAAAAGUUGUUACCACAUAUUUUUAAUAAAAUUUUAGAAAUUAAAUCUCAAAAUAAAUAUUUUAUAUAAAUUAAUUUAAUUUUUCAUUUAAAAUGUAAUAAAAUUACAUUUACAAAAUAACUUUAAAAUGUGUAUUCUUAUUUAUUUUAUCAUUUUUUGGCGUUUUUCUAAGCAUUUUUAUGAAUUUUAAAUAAUUUUUGCUCCAUUGAUAUUUAUGAAAAAAUAUCCACCGAUAUUUGUGAAAAAAUAUCCGCCGAUAUUUUUUCAAUAUUUUCAAUAUAUCCAUAAAAUCGAAAUACUGAUGUAUGCGUAGUUACCGAUAUUUUCAUUUUCUUCAUAAUUUGAAUUAUUAAUCUUUAAUAGUUUUAUUGGGAAAAAAGUCAUGAAAUAUCAUCAAUAUAUUAUUAAAAUAAUUUAAAAUUUUUGGACAACUUAGAUGUUCUCCAUUUUUUUCUAUAUGAUAAUCAUAUGCAUGAAUUUGAUUUAUAUUAAUUUACCUAUUUUUAUAUGAUUAAAUUUAAAUAUUUUAUCUCACAAUGCUUAAAUUAUGAAUUUAUAAUAGCAUAAAAAAAUUAAUUAUAAUUCAUUGUUACCUUUCCCUUUAAUUUUCUACUCUAAAAAUCAAUAAUUUUAAAGAAUUAACUUAUCAUUACCAUUUUUGACAAAAUAAUUUUUUUUUAUAGAAACUAAACAAAUGGAAAGAUAUUCUUGUAUAAAAAAUAAUUUUUUUUUAAAAAAAAUAUUCUUAUUUCAAUUAUUAUUUUAUCAUGUAAGGUCUACAAUUUUAUUUUUUUAAAUAAUAUUUUAAUCCCAUUUAACUUUGACACAAAUAAUUUUUACUAAUAUCUCUUUAGAAUUAUAAAAUAAAAGAGAUAAAGAUACAGAAGUUACCCUUGAAAGGAAUUCUAUGUAUUAGGAAAAGAAAUUUCAAAAACUUUUGAUCAAAUCCAUUCCUUUUAAAAAAGAAAUUUUGGGAUUUUGGGACUGAAUUAUUCUCUAUUUUUAUGGAAAUUGAAUGGAGAAAUAAUAAAAUUUAGAAAAUCGGGAAACUAGGAUGGGAAGGAAAGAAACACAAUAAAAAGGGAAAACGAGAGAAAGAAACAAAGGGUGGAGGAAAAAAAAAGAAGCUUUUUGGAGUCUUGAUUUUUCUUCUGCUUUCAGAGUAAUCCUUCUUCGUUAUCGCUGAUCAUCAGCCCCGCCGCUGCAAUCGCUGUUCAUCAGUAGCACCGUCGCCACUGCAGCAGAAAUCCAACCCUGACAGGUUUUGUAUUUGGUUUUUAGUUGUUAUUUUAAAUAAAAUCCACACAAUGGAGUAGUCCCAAGAACGUAUUGAUACGUAACAAACAUACUUCUUGCUCUUUAUUUAUUUUUUAUACUCGUUUCUUUCUCUUUCCACAGAAUGAGUUAUACUGAUUGGAGUAAGUUACCAAAAGAAUUAAUAGAGCUAAUUUUCGAUGAGCUAUAACAUGCGGGAGACAUAAUUCGGUUUGGAACUGUAUGUAGGUUUUGGGGUUUGGUUGCUUUGGAGGCAAGGCAACAAGUCUUCAAGCCUUUGAGACCUUUGAGUCCGAUGUUGUUACUGCCUCCUAAUAAGGAUGAUGAAGCCCACAAACUCUAUGAUUUCUUUAAGAAGAAGGCUUAUAAAAUUCAAAUUCCAGCUAUGCGCGAUAAAUGGUGUUGCAACUCAUGGAAUGGGUGGUUAAUCGCAAUCAAUCACACUUUCCCUUAUGAAAUAUGUUGUUUAAAUCCGAUUUCAGGUGUGCAAAUCGAUCUACCUCCGGCAAUAACUUUUGAAAAUUCUCCCCCUGACCUUGAUGAAACACCAAUUGAAUUUUUCUUGAACAAGGUUGUUCUGUCUUCUACUCCUUCUCCUUCAAAUGCCAAUUGUGUCAUUAUGGCUAUUCAUAGUAAUUAUAACAAAUUGGCAUUUUGCAAACUGGGUGAUAAGCGGUGGAUUACUUUAAAAAGUGAAGAUAUUCAAUAUAAGGACCUUUUAUAUUAUAAGGACAAUUUUUAUGCAAUAGGAAGGUCGAAAGUUGUACAAUGUGAUAUUGGCGAUGAUCCAAGGGUUAUACCAUUCGCACUACUCCCUAAGAUGGGAUACUUUCAGUAUAGAUAUUUAGUAGAGUCAUCCGACUGCCUUCUAUAUGUGUUGAGAUAUAUGGAUUUGAAGGAUCAAGAAGAUCCUUUAAAGUUGCGGUAUGAAACAACAGGUUUUAAGGUAUUUGAUUUGGAUUCGGAUAAAAGGAAGUUCUCAUAUCGGUAUGAAACAACAACAUUUAAGGUGUAUAAUUUUGACUUCGAUCAAAAGAAGUGGAAGCUUUUAAAAAACAUAAAGGAGAAGGCCCUAUUAUUAGGGCAUAACCAAGCUAUUUCGAUAUCUACUAAAAAAUUUGAUGGAUUUAAAAGCAAUCAUAUCUACUUUUUGGAUGACUAUAAGGAAGGUUACUUUGAAAAUACAUAUGGUUGCCAUGAUAUGGGAGUUUUUAACAUAAAAACUCAUCUCUUUAAGCCCAUUUUUCAUCGUACUCAAUUGUGGGCAUCUCCACUAUUUUGGAUGAGACCUGAACUUUCUUUACAUUGAAAUAUUGUACUACCGUUGUUAUAUUUUAUAAUAAUUCUUUUUUAACCUUUUAUAUUUCUUGUAAUAAUUUUUGUCUUUUUAUUUUAAGUAUCUAAUCUUGUUUUUUUUUUAGUGGGGAUUACCCUCUUAUGUGCAUAAGGUUUUUGGAACUCAAAAACCCAAUUAUGUCAUAGACUUCAAUGUUUGAAGGUUGAGAAAAUUUGUGGUGUAUUUUAGAAUUUGUAUGACUCUAUGAUAAAUGAUUUAUUAUGUAUUCAACUAAUUUAUAAUCAUAAAUUAAAUUUAUAUGAUAGCUAAUAAAAUUAAGAAUGUGAAAUCCAGUGCUUGUGUCAAAUAUUUAGCAAUACAUAUUUUGCAAUUUUUAUUAUGCAUAUUAGAUUUUAUCAAUUCUUAAUAUAAAAAAUAUAUAUAAUAUAAGAUUAUUGUUAUGCAAUUUUUUUUUUAAAGUUGAAAACUAUGGGUGCAAAUUGGGUGAAUUGGUCUAAUAAAACCUGAAUUAACCUAAAUAUUUUACAUUAUAUUUUUGNNNNNNNNNNNNNNNNNNNNNNNNNNNNNNNNNNNNNNNNNNNNNNNNNNNNNNNNNNNNNNNNNNNNNNNNNNNNNNNNNNNNNNNNNNNNNNNNNNNNNNNNNNNNNNNNNNNNNNNNNNNNNNNNNNNNNNNNNNNNNNNNNNNNNNNNNNNNNNNNNNNNNNNNNNNNNNNNNNNNNNNNNNNNNNNNNNNNNNNNNNNNNNNNNNNNNNNNNNNNNNNNNNNNNNNNNNNNNNNNNNNNNNNNNNNNNNNNNNNNNNNNNNNUUUACCAUUUCUUAACUGAUCAUCUUCCAGACUCUACGGUACACUUGUUAUGGUAAUAACGAGGAACAAGAUAUCCCAAGCCAACCGCACCACAUCUUUCUCUUCACCUUCAUUCCUCACCAAGCUGCUUAGCUAACAGAUCAACAGGUAAGGAACCCAGUGGAACUGGUGAUUCCAUCUCUUCCAAUGACUCAUUCACCAAGUAUUCAUCAUCAUCAUCAUUGUACAUCUCAUCUUCACUAUAAUCCUCACUAUUAUAACCUUCAUGCUCUGCCUUUGUACCACCAGUUCCAUCUUCACUUGACAUCACUAAAGCUGGAUAGGAGUGCUCGGUGGCCUGUGAAAUGCCUUCAAAUUCCUCUACUACCUUCAAGCUGUGGUUUCCCCUAUUCUUCACAUUUGUUCCCUCAAAUUAAUUGAUUAGGCCUGAUCACCUGGAUAAUCCCAGAAAAAAUAUUGCCCACUUCCUUUAUUUUGGGAAAAAAAUGUGGUUUGUCCCACUGUUGCUUCCAAUAUCUCCUCACUAGCCUUGUGUCUUAAUGGAGAACAAUCCUUCCAAAAUGGCCUUUGAAACAGGAUAAAUUAGAAAUUCCCUCAGUUUUUCAGUUUUUCUUCAAGGAAAUAGACUCAGUUUGGUGUCUAUUCAAUUAUUUUGUUCAGUAAUGCUUUGUAGUUUUUACAUUUUAUUAUUAAGUUUUGUGAGACUAAUGAGAUUAUUCAUCAGACAUAUUACUCUUACACCAUACAAAAUGGAAUGGCAGAGAGGGAAAAAAGAGAUUUUGUGGAAUUUAUCUAUUUACUUCUUUUUCAUAUGCAGGUUUCAAAAAGGUUUCGAGAAGAUGCUGCCCUGAUGGGUUGUUUUCUUUUAAUUGUGUCCCAUUGAGUGUCAGUGGUAAUAACUCCUAUUCAGAUACAUGUGCUUUUGGCAUAACGAGUCAGUAGGUUCAGAUAAGUUUUCUUCUUGAGCCACAAAGCGUCAUCUUUGAGCAUUCCACAUCUCAAAAGGUAACAAAUAUUGCAAGUAACCCUAUGUUUUGUGAAUGCACUAAACAUUGUCAUUUCAUUCAAGAUGUAGUGAUGAAAGAUUACGUAGGCAUUGAAAAUUUUUAUACUACAUCUUGAGGAGUAAUGAAGUUUAUAAAUGAGGGGAUUAUUGUACUUUUUGUAAUAAGGUUAUCAUGACUCAUGACUCAUGAGAGUGCAGCGUAUAUAUUUUGCUGCAUCUCUAUUUUUCAGAAGAUUAAUCAAAUUUAGAGAACAUCACCUCAUCUCUUCUUCUUUCACCUUUUCUAACAAAGGUUUUGUUGUAUUUGUGAUAGAGGUUUAAUAUUUCCAAGUUUUAUUGUGCUUAUUUAAUUUUUCUCGGCCGAUGAAGCUCAGAAUUAUGAAUCAAUAAUAAGAAACUGGAACAAAGAAACCAAACAAGUCAAUGGGAUUAAAGAAUUUAUGCUUGCAAAGUUCAGCUUGAAACUGUUGCCAGUAAGAAAUGGAACUAGAAUAAGCCAAAAGACAAGAUCAGUGAGCAUCACAGCACCUGCACACAUCUGUUCACCAAAGAAAAAGAAAGCCAAUGACAAAGAAAAUUUUCAACAUUUUGCUUCUUAAGUAUUGAAACCAACCACCCAAUAACAAAAUUAUACUCUUAAUGUCUAAUUUCAUUUCAACACCAAAAGGAAAUGGAGAAUCUUUAGUGAAAAUACAAUCAAAAGUAUCAAUUCAGCAAUAAAAAAUCAGGAUGUGUAUGAGCAAUAUAAGAGAUGGGAGUAUGACUGCAAGAAAAGGUUUAGCAGUCAUAAGGUUAAUAUAAUCAAUCACAGGCACUGAUGUUUAUCCGCACUCUAUCAAGUGUAUCCAUAUUUCAUAGGUUUGGUGUUGCAAUGCCCCUUGGUCCAAGGCUCCAGCACUUCAAUAUUUUCAAAUGGAAGUUCGUAAAAAUUUUCUGGUCUACCAGUAACUAUGAGUGCUUGGUUUUUGUAAACUCAUAUAAAAGCUAGCAAGAUUAAGACAUUAGUUGUAAGUCAAAUUUUGAAAUGCAAACAUACACCAACAUAUCAACCCUGUUAUAGCCUACAAUAAAACCUAGUUAUAUGAUUGUGCUUAAGGGACUACAUGGUUUUGCAUUAGGAGGCAUAGAAAUUUAUACGGUUUUAUCCAUCUGUAGUUUGCCAAAAUGUAAUUCUUUGCUAAGUUAGAUUUAUCUGGAACUCAAAUUGCAAUAUUAAAUAUGAAGAAUGAGUGUUCAUGGAACUUAUUUUUUCAUGAAAAUGUUAUAAAGUUCAUUAUUUGAGCAUAUUAAAAUUUUGUGCAUCCGCAUUUUUUUUUUUGCCUUUUGCCUUUCCUGUAAUAUACAAAAAUAGAUAUUUAUAAACAACAUAAAACACAACUUGGUUAAGUUAAUGAGAAGGGUCCAGCUCUCUGGCC